UAUGCUUGAUCCAAUAGGCUUGAUUUAAAGUUUCUGUUGUUACUUUGGUUUACUUUGAAUAUUCUUCAGAUUUCAGAAGUGGUCACUAACAAUUUCAUUGUCAACAGUUACUAUUCCUCACUGAUUCACUGUCCUGUUUGUCUAAAAUUAUAUUUGUGGGUCGGUCCACAAUUUUUAUAUAUUGCCAAAAGUUAUACAUUGAGGUAUUCUAUUUUUGUGUUAGCAUUAUAUUUUGCAUUUGUUUGUAACUCAAAUUCUUUGUCUUCUUUAUGAGAGAACUGAGUUCAUACACUUCAAUUUAAAAAUCUUAGGCUGUAGUAGCCAGGAAUUCUGUAUCACAACAAAAACAAAUUUUACAUAAUGUGAAGUACACAAUAUGGCACUAUAGUAACAUUUCAUUGUUAUGCUUUUGCACAAACUCAUUGUACUGCUUGGAUUUGAUAAUAAAAUCACACCUGCUAAAGCUUCAAAGAAAAAAUGUAGAAGAUCACAAUCUGGAGAAACCCAAGACAUUCAUCCCCCAAAACAAAGUUUUGCAUUUAUGUUUCUCUCACUGUAUUGCAAAUUUCAAGAUAGUUUUCAAUACAUUAAAUUUGUGGUACUUGUGUACCAAAUUAAUGACUCUUGAUAUAGUUUUGUGGAAAAAGGAAAAGAAAGAUAACCAGAUUGAUCUCUUUAUUUUACCAUGUAGUCUACAGACUCCAGAUGGAAAAAGACAGAGAAAGAAAUUCUAAAGCGGUAUUCAAGGACCCAUCCUCCUCCACACUAAUUCAUAUUGGAAGAAAUUAACAUCCAACUUGAAUGAAGAAUUACAGACUUUCAGAACAGACCCUUUAAAAAAAGGAGAAGCCAGAUCUUCAGAAGACUUCCUUGAAAAUGAGAAUUUUUUGAGUGGAAAUGAAGAAUAUGGGAUGCAUACAAGCAGACAUCAGCAUUCCCUCCCUCUUGUUUGUAUCAGAGGUGAGCUUUUUGAGAAAGACUUAUGAAGGAAGUUUGAGAGUGUCAGUUCUCAGAUCAAGAAGUUAGCUAACAGUAGGAGGAGUAGUAAUUCAUUCCACAGUAUGGCCAGAGAAAUAUAUGACAUGAAAGACCUGAAAAGGGAGAUUUGGCAUUGUUUCAUGUGGAAAUUGAAGAAUCUUUGAAAUGGAUACAUGCAACACAGACAUGUUUCAGUUACUUGGGGAUAAAACUUAUGAGGAAUUUUGCUGACUUUCAGAUGGGAAUGUGUUGCACAAGAAAUGCUUGAUCACAACCUUCUUUUAUUAGAAACCUUUUCUAUGCAAAUAAUUAUUUUAAAUGAAAUUUUGCUAUUUCAUUAGACUAGUAAACAUGUUUUCUGUGCAAAUGUGUGUCUUUGACAUUAAAUGCUAUGAUAUAUUGAAGUAUUUUUAAACAAUGGAAGAUCUCUACUAGUUCUUUCAAAGGAAAGCCAACAACAGGAAUCGAACCUGUUCCUCCAUCGUACAGAUACGAAAGUGUGCACCAGUACACCAUGUUGGCAUAUAUUAAGAACUAGUAGCCUUGGAGAGUACAUAUUGUAUUAUUCUUGUAUAGUUGAUACUGGUUGGUGUGAUAUAUAUGUAUAUAUAUAAUAUACAUACAGCUUAGUAUAAAUAAUGCAUGCCUCAUGUUUGCUAGUCGUCAAUAAAGCA
Molecule: long non-coding RNA, 1652 nt
Organism: Ostrea edulis (European flat oyster)
Lineage: Eukaryota; Metazoa; Mollusca; Bivalvia; Ostreida; Ostreidae
Exons: 3
Source: RefSeq, a predicted model, not a curated record